GGGAUUCUAGGCGUAGAUGGAAUUCCACCAAUGCUCGUCGGUGGCAAGCGUACAUUGAAGCUUCCUCCCGAUCUUGGUUAUGGGGCGAGAGGAGCAGGCUGCAGAGGAGGCUCUUGCAUUAUUCCUCCGGAUUCAACUCUUCUGUUCGAUAUAGAAUUCAUUGGGUAGGCAGGAGCCAGAGACCUACAGAGUCUUUUUCUGACGAAAGGAACCAACAGACGAGAUACUUGUAUAAGCACUUACUUAAACAAGAGGGAACC
Molecule: long non-coding RNA, 260 nt
Organism: Zingiber officinale
Lineage: Eukaryota; Viridiplantae; Streptophyta; Magnoliopsida; Zingiberales; Zingiberaceae
Exons: 3
Source: RefSeq, a predicted model, not a curated record